RNAcentral lists this ribosomal RNA (253 nucleotides) under uncultured bacterium. Its description in RNAcentral is "partial 16S ribosomal RNA". It matches the Rfam family "Bacterial small subunit ribosomal RNA", at positions 524 to 776 of the family's 1533-position model. The record is from RNAcentral.
UACGUAGGGGGCAAGCGUUGUCCGGAAUCAUUGGGCGUAAAGCGCGUGUAGGCGGCCCGGUAAGUCCGCUGUGAAAGUCGGGGGCUCAACCCUCGAAUGCCGGUGGAUACUGUCGGGCUAGAGUGCGGAAGAGGCGAGUGGAAUUCCUGGUGUAGCGGUGAAAUGCGUAGAUAUCAGGAGGAACACCAAUUGCGAAGGCAGCUCGCUGGGACGUGACUGACGCUGAGACGCGAAAGCGUGGGGAGCAAACAGG